RNAcentral lists this ribosomal RNA (447 nucleotides) under uncultured bacterium. RNAcentral describes it as "bacterial SSU rRNA". It matches the Rfam family "Bacterial small subunit ribosomal RNA", at positions 355 to 825 of the family's 1533-position model. The record is from RNAcentral.
UGGGGAAUCUUGGACAAUGGGCGCAAGCCUGAUCCAGCCAUGCCGCGUGAGUGAAGAAGGCCUUCGGGUUGUAAAGCUCUUUUACCAGGGACGAUAAUGACGGUACCUGGAGAAUAAGCCCCGGCAAACUUCGUGCCAGCAGCCGCGGUAAUACGAAGGGGGCUAGCGUUGUUCGGAAUUACUGGGCGUAAAGCGCACGUAGGCGGAUUGUUAAGUCAGAGGUGAAAUCCCGGAGCUCAACUUCGGAACUGCCUUUGAUACUGGCAAUCUAGAGUCCGGAAGAGGUUAGUGGAAUUCCCAGUGUAGAGGUGAAAUUCGUAGAUAUUGGGAAGAACACCAGUGGCGAAGGCGGCUAACUGGUCCGGUACUGACGCUGAGGUGCGAAAGCGUGGGGAGCAAACAGGAUUAGAUACCCAAGUAGUCCCUGAGCGGGCUGGCAAGGCGCAU